Molecule: unclassified non-coding RNA, 329 nt
Filed under: soil metagenome
Description: partial contains 5.8S ribosomal RNA, internal transcribed spacer 2, and large subunit ribosomal RNA
Rfam family: 5.8S ribosomal RNA (bases 1-120)
Source: RNAcentral
GAUGAAGAACGUAGCGAAAUGCGAUAAGUAAUGUGAAUUGCAGAAUUCAGUGAAUCGUCGAAUCUUUGAACGCACAUUGCGCCCCUUGGUAUUCCGAGGGGCAUGCCUAUUCGAGCGUCAUUAUCACCCCUCAAGCCUAGCUUGGUGUUGAGACCUGCUGUCAAGGCAGUCUCUAAAAUCAGUGGCAGUGCUGUCAGGCUCUAAGCGUAGUAAAUCUAAUCGCUAUAGACACCUGGUGGACACUCGCCAGAACCCCCCCAUUUUUUAAUGAUUGACCUCGGAUUAGGUAGGGAUACCCGCUGAACUUAAGCAUAUCAAUAAGCGGAGGA